AUGCAGCUCCCUCUCAAGACACAGACAGCCCACUCAGUGCAACAAAUGGUUGAAAUCACGGACGAGAGCAACUUUGACGACAUCGUCUAUGCCUUUGUGAGCCUGACAGCCAUCUAGAUAGGCCUCAUAGGCCUUGCAGAGUUGCAUGGGGCUGAGGCCGGAUGGCAUCAUCGACCACUCCCUGGGGAAAGUGGCCUGUGGCUAUGCCAACGGCUGCCUGUCCCAGGAGGAGGCUGGCCUCUCUGCCUACUGGAGAGGGCAGUGCAUCAAAGAAGCCAACAUCCCACCAGGCGCCAUGGCAGCUGUGGGCUUGCCCUGGGAGGAGUGUAAGCGGCGCUGCCCACCACCCCCUACCACCCCCCGGGCAUGGUGCCUGCCUGCCACAACUCUGAGGACACGGUGACCAUCUCGGGACCUCAGGGCCCUGUGUACGAGUUCGUGGAAGAGCUGAAGCAGGCGGGCGUGUUUGCCAAGGAGAUGCGGACGGGUGGCAUGUCCUUCCACUCCUACUUCAUGGAGGGCACCGCACACUGACUGCUGCAGGCACUCAAGAAGGUGAUCCGGGAGCUGAAGCAGCGCUCAGCCUGCUGGCUCAGCACCUCUAUCCCCGAGGCCUGGUGGCACACCAGCCUGGCACGCAUGUGCUCCCCCGAGUACAACGUCAGCAACCUGGUGAGCCCCGUGCUGUUCCAGGAGGUCCUAUGGCUCGUGCCUUAGCACACGGUGGUGCUGGAGAUCGUGCCCCACGCCCUGCUGCAGGCUGCACCAUUGUUCCCCUGAUGAAGAAGGACCACAGGGACAACCUGGAGCUGUUCCUCGCCGGCACUGGCAGGCUGCACCUCUCAGGCAUUGACGCCAACCCCAAUGCCUUGCUCCCACUUGUGGAAUUCCUGGUUCCCCUAGGAAUGCCCCUCAUCUCCCCGCUCAUCAAAUGGGACCACAGCCUGGCCUGGGACGUGCUGGCCGCCGAGGACUUCCCCAAUGGUUCCAGUUCCCCAUCGGCCGCGGUCUACAACAACGACGCCAGCCCAGAGUCUCCUGACCACUAACUGGUGGACCACUGCAUUGGUGGCCAUAUCAUCUUCCCUGCCGCUGGCUAUCUGUGCCUCGCGUGGAAGACGCUGGCCCGUGUCGUGAAUCUGGCCAUGGAGCAGCUGCCUGCGGUGUUUGAGGACGUGAUGGUGCACCAGGCCACCAUCCUGCCCAUGACCGGGACUGUGUCCCUCGAGGUACAGCUCCUGGAAGCCUCCCAUACCUUCGAAGUGUCAGAGCACUUCCACCUGGUAAUGAGUGGGAAGGUGUAUCAAUGGGAGGACCCUGGCCCCAGGCUCUCUGACCACCAGGAAAGCCCUGCCACCAGCCCCAGGGAGCCAUUCUUCCUGGCCUAGGCUGAAGUGCACAGGGAACUGUGUUUGCAUGGCUACGACUACGGCACUCAGUUCCAGGGCAUCCUAGAGGCCAGCCUGGAAGGCAACUAGGGCAAGCUGCUGUGGAAGGAUAACUGGGUGCCCUUCCUGGACACCAUGCUGCAGAUGUCAAUCCUGGGCACGGGCCAGUGCAGCCUGUUCCUGCCCACCCGCAUCACUGCCAUCCACAUCGACCCUGCCUCCCACAGGCAGAAGCUGUACACACAGCAGGACGAGGCUCAAGUGGUUGAUGUGGUGGUGAGCAGGCGUCUGAAGACCACAGCGGCCGGAGGCGUCCACCUCUCCAGGCUCCACGCCUCGGCGGUCCCACAGCGGCAGCAGGAGCAUCGAGCACCCGUCCUGGAGAAGUUUUGUUUCACGCCCCACAUAGAGGACAGGUGCCUGUCUGGGCACGCUACUCUGAAGGAGGAGCUGCAGCUGUGCAAGACACUGGUGCAGGCGCUGCAGACUAAGGUGACCUAGAAGGGGCUGAAGAUGGCGGUGCCCAGACUGGACUGGGCCCAGGUCCCCCAGGAUUCCCCGCAGCAGGCACUGCCCCAGCUGCUGUCCGCUGCCCGCGGGCUUCAGCUCAACAGGAACCUACAGCUGGAGCUGGUACAGGUGCUGGCUGAGGAGAGGUCUGAGCUGCCAGAGGACCCUCUGCCCAGCUGCCUCCUGGACUCCCCACCGCUCAAGGCCUGCGUGGACACUGCCCUGGAGAACAUGCCCAGCCUGAAGAUGAAGGUGGUGGAGGCGCUGGCUGGCCAUGGUCAUCUGUAUUCCCGCAUCCCAGGUCCGCUCAACACACUGCAGCUGAGCUACAGGGCCACCGACCGCCACCCUCAGGCCCUGGAGGCUGCCCAGGCCAAGCUGCAGCCGCACGACAUUGCCCAGGGCCAGUGGGACCCCGCGGACCCUGCCCCCAGCGCCCUGGGUAGCACUGACCUCCUGGUGUGCAACUGUACAGUGGCGGCCCUCGGGGACCCGGCCUCAGCCCUCGGCAACAUGAUGGCUGCCCUGAGAGAAGGGGGCUUUCUGCGGCUGCACACGCUGCUCGGGGGCACCCCCUUGGGGAGAUCGUGACCUUCCUCACCUCCGCUGAGCCGCAGUACGCCGGGGCAUCCUGAGCCAGGACGCGUGAGAGAGCCUCUUCUCCAAAUGCCGCCGCGCCUGGUGGGCCUGAAGAAGUCCUUCUACCGCUCCGUACUUUUCCGGUGCGGCCGCCCCGCAGGACAGCCCCGUCUUCCUUCCGGUGGAGCACACCAGCUUCCGCUGGGUGGACUCUCUGAAGGGCUUCCCGGCCGGCUCCUCCUCCGGGCCCGUGUGACAGGAGGCCGUCAACUGCACCGCCUCCGGCGUGGUGGGCUUGGGGAACUGUCUCCGCCAAGAGCUCGGCGGGCACCGCAGUCGGUGCCUGCUGCUCUCCAACCUCAGCAGCACCGCCCGCGUCGCGGACCCGGGCUCCGCAGAACUGCAGAAGGUGCUGCAGGGAGAACUGGUGAUGAACGUCUUCCGCCACUUCCCGCUGGAGCAGGACAAGCCCGAGGAGCUGACGGCACACGCCUACGUGGUGGUCCUCACCCGGGGGGACCUGUCCUCCAUCGCUGGGUCUGCUCCUCGCUGCGCCAUGCCCAGCCAGCCCUGGCGCCCAGCUCUGCACGGCCUACUUCGCCUUCCUCAACUUCCAUGACAUCAUGCUGGCCACUGGCAAGCUGCCUCCUGACGCCAUCCCAGGGAACUGGGCCACCAAGGACUGCUUGCUGGGUAUGGAGUUCGCGGGCCGGGACGCGAGCAGCAAGCGUGUGACCGGGCUGGUGCCCACCGAGGGCCUGGCCACCUCUGUCCUGCUGUCGCCGGACUUCCUCUGGGACGUGCCCUCGCACUGGAUCCUGGAGGAGGCGGCCUUGGUGCCUGUCGUCUGCACCACAGCUUACUACGCACUGGUGGUCUGUGGGCGGGUGCAGCGCGGGGAGACGCUUAUCCACUCUGGUUCUGGAGGCGUGGGCCAGGCCGCCAUCGCCAUCGCCCUCAGUCUGGGCUGCCGCGUCUUCACCGCCGUGGGGUCGGCCGAGAAGCGGGCGUACCUCCAGGCCAGGUUCUCCCAGCUGGACAGCACCAGCUUUGCCAACUCGAGGGACACGUCGUUCGAGAAGCAUGUGCCGCAGCACACUGGCGGGAAGGGCGUUGACCUGGCCCUGAACUCCUUGGUGGAAGAGAAGCUGCAGGCCCGCGUGAGGUGCUUGGCUCAGCACGGCCGCUUGCUGUAAAUUGGCAAAUUCGACCUUGCUAACAACCACCCGCUUGGCAUGGCCAUCUUCUUGAAGAACGUGACCUUCCACGGGAUCCUUCUGGACUCGCUCUUUGGCGAAGCCAGUGCCGCCUGGUGGGAGGUGUUGGCGCUUCUGCAGGCUGGCAUCUGCGAUGGCAUAGUGCAGCCCCUCAGGUGCACCGUGUUCCCCAGGGCCCAGGUGGAGGACGCCUUCAGCUACAUGGCCUAGGGGAAGCUCAUUGGCGAAGUCCUCGUGCAGGUGCAUGCAGAGCAGCCGGAGGCUGUGCUGAAGGGGGCCAAACCCACGCUGACGCCUGUCCCACAAAAGCUAAGUCAUCGCUUGUGCCUGGGGUGGCUUUGGCCUGGGGCUGGCCCAGUGGCUGAUACAGCCCGGGGCUCAGAAGCUGGUGCUGACCUCUUGCUCCAGGAGCCGGAGGUAA
This is an RNA transcript of Cebus imitator (Panamanian white-faced capuchin), 4115 nucleotides long. It is a transcript of the gene named fatty acid synthase-like, with no coding region annotated. The transcript has 2 exons. NCBI's taxonomy places the organism in Eukaryota, Metazoa, Chordata, Mammalia, Primates, Cebidae. The record is from RefSeq and is a predicted model, not a curated record.